AUUAGGGAGACAUAAGUCUUCAGAAGGUUAUAAUAAAGUACAUUAUCUACUUCAGAAAUAGGGCUAUUAGCUCAGCUGGUUAGAGCACACCCCUGAUAAGGGUGAGGCCUCUGGUUCAAGUCCAGAAUAGCCCAAACAGAAGUAUCACUCUAUUGGUAGAGUGCUGCCCUUACAAGGCAGGUGUCACUGGUGUAAUACCACGUAACUCAACAUGAUAUUUAUAUCAUAACUAAAUCUUGAAAACUGUAGAGUGGCAGAUAUAGAAAA
RNAcentral lists this transfer RNA (267 nucleotides) under Proteomonas sulcata. RNAcentral describes it as "16S-23S ribosomal RNA intergenic spacer". The stretch from base 61 to 134 matches the Rfam family "tRNA". The record is from RNAcentral. Lineage: Eukaryota; Cryptophyceae; Pyrenomonadales; Geminigeraceae.